GUAGGUGGCAAGCGUUGUCCGGGAAUUAUUGGGGCGUAAAGCGCGCGCAGGCGGUUCUUUAAGUCUGAUGUGAAAGCCCACGGGCUCAACCGUGAGGGUCAUUGGAAACUGGAGAACUUGAGUACAGAAGAGGAAAGCGGAAUUCCACGUGUAGCGGUGAAAUGCGUAGAGAUGUGGAGGAACACCAGUGGCGAAGGCGGCUUUCUGGUCUGUAACUGACGCUGAGGCGCGAAAGCGUGGGGAGCAAACAGGAUUAGAUACCCUGGUAGUCCACGCCGUAAACGAUGAGUGCUAAGUGUUAGGGGGUUUCCGCCCCUUAGUGCUGCAGCUAACGCAUUGAGCACUCCGCCUGGGGAGUACGGCCGCAAGGCUG
RNAcentral lists this ribosomal RNA (373 nucleotides) under uncultured organism. RNAcentral's name for it is "partial 16S ribosomal RNA". It matches the Rfam family "Bacterial small subunit ribosomal RNA", at positions 527 to 896 of the family's 1533-position model. The record is from RNAcentral.